AGCCUACUAGCUCAAUUGGUAGAGCAUUAAAAGAUGUGGGUUCGAAUCCCACGUAGGCUC
This 60-nucleotide transfer RNA is filed under the name Spinacia oleracea (spinach). It matches the Rfam family "tRNA". From Rfam's summary of the family: Transfer RNA (tRNA) molecules are approximately 80 nucleotides in length. Their secondary structure includes four short double-helical elements and three loops (D, anti-codon, and T loops). Lineage: Eukaryota; Viridiplantae; Streptophyta; Magnoliopsida; Caryophyllales; Amaranthaceae. The record is from Rfam by way of RNAcentral.